AACUUUCAACAACGGAUCUCUUGGUUCUGGCAUCGAUUCAAGAACGCAACGGAAAUGCGAUAAGUAAUGUGAAUUGCAGAGUUCAGUGAAUCAUCGAAUCUUUGAACGCACAUUGCGCCCGCCAGUAUUCUGGCGGGCAUGCCUGUUCGAGCGUCAUUUCAACCAUCAAGCCCCGU
Molecule: ribosomal RNA, 176 nt
Filed under: Thermothielavioides terrestris
Lineage: Eukaryota; Fungi; Ascomycota; Sordariomycetes; Sordariales; Chaetomiaceae
Description: 5.8S ribosomal RNA
Rfam family: 5.8S ribosomal RNA (bases 1-156)
About the family: 5.8S ribosomal RNA (5.8S rRNA) is a component of the large subunit of the eukaryotic ribosome.
Source: RNAcentral